CAGCCCUCGGUUCUAAUAAGAUCAUUGGCGUGACGGAGGAGGGGGUGCAGCAAUGUGGGACUGAUUACACUCAGCCUCUGCAGAAUAAAACCAUCAAAGUCAAACUGAAAUGUCCUUUUCCAGAAGAAAACAACUCCCUGAGGUUUAGCAACUCAGGAAGUAGUAUGUGUAUUAUUUCUUUGGUCAACUGUGGAUUACUGUAAAUGUCCAAUGAUGAUGGUGCGGCACUGACACGUUCUGUCAAUUCUGGACUAUAAGCCGCUACUUUUUCCCUGCGUUGUGAACCCUGCGGCUUAUAAGAAGUGCAAAUAGUUUAUGGAUUUUUCUUUGCCGACGGCCAUAGUGCAACAGUUAGAAAAGAACAACCAAAAAACAAGCAAACACACCAAUGAGGUAUGUUGUUGUUUGUGCAAUGACGCCAUCUUUUGGAAGAGUUUGUUCACUGCAGGUGCUGCAGUGUCCUUCCAUUUAGUGUUCUCAGCCGGAAGCCAUUCAGUCUUCUAAACAUCCAUAGCGUUCCUAUUCGUAUGGAUUCUCCAUUCAUCGCUCUAAGUAACAGUUGUAAGUUUUACAAUAGAACUAAAACAAUUCAUUCUUACUAAACCGUCCCAUGUGUGAUAUCUGUAGGUUUGUAAGUUUUACAAUAUAACUAAAACUAUUCAUACUUACUAAACCGUCCCAUGUCUGAUGUCUGUAGGUUUGUAAGUUUUACAAUAGAACUAAAACAAUUCAUUCUUACUAAACCGUCCCAUGUGUGAUAUCUGUAGGUUUGUAAGUUUUAUAAUAUAACUAAAACUAUUCAUACUUACUAAACCGUCCCAUGUGUGAUGUCUGUAGGUUUGUAAGUUUUACAAUAUAACUAAAACAAUUCAUACUUCCUAAACCGUCCCAUGUGUGAUGUCUGUAGGUUUGUAAGUUUUACAAUAUAACUAAAACAAUUCAUACUUCCUAAACCGUCCCAUGUGUGAUGUCUGUAGGUUUGUAAGUUUUACAAUAUAACUAAAACAAUUCAUACUUACUAAACCGUCCAAUGUCUGAUGUUGUAAGUUUGUAAGUUUUCUACAAUAGAACUAAAACAAUUCAUACUUCCUAAACCGUCCCAUGUGUGAUGUCUGUAGGUUUGUAAGUUUUGCAAUAUAACUAAAACAAUUCAUACUUACUAAACCGUCCCAUGUCUGAUGUUGUAAGUUUUUUACAAUAGAACUAAAACAAUUCAUACUUCCUAAACCGUCUGAUGUCUGUAAGUUUGUAAGUUUUACAAUAUAACUAAAACAGUUCAUACUUCCUAAACCGUCCCAUUUCUGAUGUUUGUAGGUUUGUAAGUUUUACAAUAUAACUAAAACAAUUCAUGCUUCCUAAACCGUCCCAUGUGUGAUGUCUGUAGGUUUGUAAGUUUUACAAUAUAACUAAAACAAUUCAUACUUCCUAAACCGUCCCAUGUGUGAUGUCUGUAGGUUUGUAAGUUUUAUAAUAUAACUAAAACAAUUCAUACUUCCUAAACCGUCCCAUGUGUGAUGUCUGUAGGUUUGUAAGUUUUACAAUAUAUCCAAAACAAUUCAUACUUCCUAAACCGUCCCAUGUGUGAUGUCUGUAGGUUUGUAAGUUUUAUAAUAUAACUAAAACAAUUCAUACUUCCUAAACCGUCCCAUGUGUGAUGUCUGUAGGUUUGUAAGUUUUAAAAUAUAACUAAAACAAUUCAUACUUCCUAAACCGUCUGUCUGUAUGAGUGUUUUCAUGCACAGUUGUACGUGCUAUCGUAAUGUAAUCAAGUUAGCAUCGUUAGCAUUAGCUAAUAUUCUAUCACGUUUACGAGUGUCUGUGUUAGUAUUAUUAACUUACAAUGGCUGAUUAAAAUAAAAUUCAAUUGUUGCGUUUUGUUGUUCUUUAAUAUUUUUUUUUUAAUGGCCUUCAUUUUUUUCCGCAUAGAAAUUCUUACAUAAAAGAAAACUGCUGUAAGUAUAAUAUUUUUUGCGUCUUGAGUGGAGUAAGUGCAGCCUUCCACCAAUGAGCACACCUUCGAUGGUAAUUUUAAAAAAACAAACGUUUAAUAGUAGAUGCAUUGCACAACCGCUUCUAAAAUGCCCAUAAAAAGUGAUACAUGUGUCCAGCAUGUUUUAAAACAUAGCAAAACGCUGCAGGUAGGAGCAUGACAACAUGAAUGUGCAGUAAAUGAGUGUCUCCAUGGUGAUUCCCCGUUUCGUAUACGCAAAAUCCUCAUUUGAAUAAGUCGGUCUUAGUACAUCACUCGGCCAUAAUAGCACACACUAUUUUAUAGAUUGCACACGCUGGUAUUUGGGUCUUACUAAAUCAGGCCCUUACUGUACAAUGUCUGAUCUCACUGGGAUGCUGACUGAUGGGAUGUUCAUAUCUUCCAGUUUAGAUGAAGAAUUGAUCAUAAUCCUCACACAUGUAUUAAAAAAAAAAAAAAAAAAAAAAAAAAAAAAAAGGUCUUUUCGUGUCUUUCUCGCCAUAAGUUACCGCAUUUCCUGGACCAUAGGGCGCAACGGAUUAUAAGGCGCACUGCCGAUGAGGCGGUCUAUUCAGGUCAGCAGCAUCUUCUCAUCAGUGGCUCACUAGUGCAAAAAGGAAAAGUGUCCCGUGAAAAACCGUCCGACCGGAACUCUCUAAUAACUAAAGUUCCUUAGGUGAAUAAUGUAAAGUCAUUACACCGGUAUGUUUUAGCGCUUCCAUUACGAGAAAUGAGUUCGAACUUUACACUACUUUAAAUUAGAAAUGGCAACAACGGAGGAUGAAUGUCCCAUAACAAGAUGGUAGAGAAAAAGAAGCUUAUCGACACAUUUUACUGUAAAAUUGGGUGUAAAUUUGUACUGUUUUUCAAGUUACAGUAAUGCACUAUAAAAAAAUAAGAUUUUUGUAAAAAAAACA
This is a non-coding RNA of Nerophis lumbriciformis (worm pipefish), 2886 nucleotides long. Lineage: Eukaryota; Metazoa; Chordata; Actinopteri; Syngnathiformes; Syngnathidae. The record is from RefSeq and is a predicted model, not a curated record.